Zootermopsis nevadensis is the source of this 1241-nucleotide long non-coding RNA. RefSeq lists it as uncharacterized. NCBI's taxonomy places the organism in Eukaryota, Metazoa, Arthropoda, Insecta, Blattodea, Termopsidae. The record is from RefSeq and is a predicted model, not a curated record.
GUACAGCACCCAGCCCACUCGAUAGCUCUAUACCUGGGGCUAGAAGCGGCCACACUGGAUACACCCUCACAAACUUGUUGUGACGCUGUAUCAACUCCAUUGGUUAUAUGGAGUCUAUUGGCUGAUGAGGGGUGCAAACUUAAAAAUCAAGAGGGCACAGGGACAUUGAUUCUGGAUCAAAGCUUAAAAGUUGAAAGGGCAUUGAAUGCAAAAGUAAAUGACCACUCAGAAAUACAGACGGACCAUCAGACAGACAGGCGAGGUAGAUAAAACGAAUAUACACAAUAGGUGAAGCAAUCUUCGAGUUGGAAAAUCGUGAUGGCAGGUGUAGCACGAGAUCGGUCGAGAUCGACGAGAAAGAUGCCGACCAUGGGUGCCAGUGGUUCAGCUACCUGUACCAGGCCGUACCAGUCCUGGGGAGCAUUUGGGGGCUGGAACCUGGCACCCACAGGUGUUAAAUCUCUAACCAGAUAUGUGCUCUGCUCUCAACACGUGUGCUCAAGAAGGCGGUGGAGACAAGCAACCAAGUCUCUGUGGGACUUAUUAACAGUCUGUCGCCCCCUAAACCGUCUCCGUCUUGUUAGAAGAACUCUGUGAUGGUCAUGGAAUAUCAAGAGCUGCUGAACUCAGAUACCAACUUACAGCAAUAUAUUUCUCGCCUCUUACUAAAUGACAUGCUCCUUUACGUAUUAUUUAAUAAUCAUUGUUCAUCGUUUUUUGUUUUGUACGUAUCCUAUUUUACGUGAAGUUAGAUGCUUUAUGUUGAUGACCGGCCUAGUUAUUUAUAAAAGCUAGCUUUGUAUGCCAUACUCUACACACGCGCACCAUGUGAUUUUUUUAAAAACGAUAAAUGCUGCAUGAGGGCGAGGGUGUCAUCAAGGUAAAUAUGGUUUAUGCUAUGUUCCCAACCCACCGGACUAUCCAAGAAGGUUAAUAAACCACAGUAUUCUCACUUAAACAGAGCAAAAUUUAACUGAAAACGCUUCGAAGUGACCGAUAAGCUAAGAAUGCAAAUGUCUUGCGUACGCAGGUUGUAACUAGCAGGGUUCAUAACAACCGGUCUGUUACGUGGGCGUCAUAUUCGUCCCAUCGUGAUAAAAUGUAGUGUCUCUUACAGUGUCAAUGUACCAGUAUUGCUGUCACUCAGGUUGCGUACGUGAUAGUGCAUAUGUUACUAAAAUGAUGCAAUGUUGCUUUCACUUAGUAGAACACAGGAUAUUAAAAAUGUCUAAUAUACCAUA